Anopheles aquasalis is the source of this 813-nucleotide long non-coding RNA. RefSeq lists it as uncharacterized. Lineage: Eukaryota; Metazoa; Arthropoda; Insecta; Diptera; Culicidae. The record is from RefSeq and is a predicted model, not a curated record.
UGAAAACUGAACACGCCGGACGUGUUUUGUUGCUGUGCGUAGUUGCACCGUCGAGCAGAUGCACAAACUGCACUGCAAAGCAACAUGUAAAGAUCCGAGGUGGUGACGAGAGUAGCGAUGGUGGAGCAGGUGGAUCAGGUGAAGCAGUAGCAGCUUUACAUCAUCAUGACGAAAAGGUGAAAAGUCACCGAAGCCGUGGAGUGAUGACAAGAAACUAUCCCGUAAGGUGUCCCGUUCGAUCAGUCGAAGAAGAACUGCAGCAGCAAGUACCUGGUGAAGCUAGUGUCGUCGAAAUAGGACCGACCACCGGUAUGAUCUCAGGUGCAGAGUUCGAUCGCAAUCACUCGAUCGUUCGAAUGGCAAAAUCGGGCGCAUGUUUGAUGAGACACGCAAGCCAAGCAGAAGAAGUGCCGAUUGAGUGAUGAUUGGCCAGAUCGCAUCCACCGUGAUCCAUCGUGUGAUCAUCGCAAAAAACUCGAUGCGAUAGCCGGUAUGUUGUUUGAUUGGUGAUGAUCAACGCAAAGAUCCUAAUGCAGGAUACGUUCGAGGUGGAUGGAGCGAUCAAUAAAAGCUUCAAAUCAAUGGUGGGCAGCGCGUGUGGCAAGCCUCUUCGUCAUGUGGCGCGGUGUUCAGUUACUGUGAUUUUUAUGUGACUAAAAGUGACCAUUUGGUGAAAUCAGUGCAUCAUCCCUCAAGCCGCAAAGCAACAUACAUUUUUCGACGAAAAGGCAGUUCUACGAACGAGUAAAAUGGUGAUUCCUUUCCAGAUGACAAGGUAGACAGGUCAGAAAUAUAAUUAUCAAUCAACCCCUA